GAAAUGCGAUAAGUAAUGUGAAUUGCAGAAUUCAGUGAAUCAUUGAAUCUUUGAACGCACAUUGCGCCCCCUGGUAUUCCGGGGGGCAUGCCUGUUCGAGCGUCAUUUCACCACUCAAGCCUCGCUUGGUAUUGGGCGACGCGGUCCGCCGCGCGCCUCAAAUCGACCGGCUGGGUCUUUCGUCCCCUCAGCGUUGUGGAAACUAUUCGCUAAAGGGUGCCGCGGGAGGCCACGCCGUAAAACAACCCCAUUUCUAAGGUUGACCUCGGAUCAGGUAGGGAUACCCGCUGAACUUAAGC
Molecule: unclassified non-coding RNA, 299 nt
Filed under: plant metagenome
Description: partial contains 5.8S ribosomal RNA, internal transcribed spacer 2, and large subunit ribosomal RNA
Rfam family: 5.8S ribosomal RNA (bases 1-105)
Source: RNAcentral